This 510-nucleotide ribosomal RNA is filed under the name uncultured bacterium. Its description in RNAcentral is "bacterial SSU rRNA". It matches the Rfam family "Bacterial small subunit ribosomal RNA", at positions 18 to 518 of the family's 1533-position model. The record is from RNAcentral.
CCUGGCUUAGGAUGAACGCUAGCGACAGGCCUAACACAUGCAAGUCGAGGGGCAGCACAAGGAGCAAUCUGAGGUGGCGACCGGCGCACGGGUGAGUAACACGUAUGCAACCUGCCUGUAAGCGGGGAAUAACCCGUUGAAAGACGGACUAAUACCGCAUAAUACUAAAUUACUGCAUGGUAAUUUAUUUAAACAUUUAUGGCUUACAGAUGGGCAUGCGCAUGAUUAGCUAGUUGGAGAGGUAACGGCUCCCCAAGGCAACGAUCAUUAGGGGUUCUGAGAGGAAGGUCCCCCACACUGGUACUGAGACACGGACCAGACUCCUACGGGAGGCAGCAGUGAGGAAUAUUGGUCAAUGGACGAGAGUCUGAACCAGCCAAGUCGCGUGCAGGAAGAAUGUUCCCUAUGGAUUGUAAACUGCUUUCGCGAGGGGAAAUAAAGUGCAUCACGUGUGAUUGUUUUGUAUGUACUCUGCGAAUAAGGAUCGGCUAACUCCGUGCCAGCCGCGGC